GCCCGAAUAGCAGGAACCAUGGUAUUACAUUCAUUUUCCAAUGAAUUCGAAGGUGAUCAUGUACUUAAUGGGGUUUGACAGCCAGCGCGGCGAUUUUGUUUUGCUUACAAAAAUUUCGGUCGGUAUCCAACGUAUCCAACAUUAUUCGAUGAUUUUUUGGCAAAAAUUACCGUCAAGUGUUUGGGUAUGAUCGAAAUGCGAUAUAAUCCCUUCCCCCGGACUGUGAAGAAGUGGAAAGAAAAAUUUCUUAACUCUCCCGUAAUGCGAGUUUCCGAACAUUCCAGCUGGUGGCCAACUAAAAGACGGCAGCAUUCUCGAGGUGUUAAAGUGUAAUUAUUACAAAAAAUAUGAAUAUGUUUAGUUCAAAAAUAAAGAUUAU
Long non-coding RNA from Uranotaenia lowii, 379 nucleotides. RefSeq lists it as uncharacterized. NCBI's taxonomy places the organism in Eukaryota, Metazoa, Arthropoda, Insecta, Diptera, Culicidae. The record is from RefSeq and is a predicted model, not a curated record. The transcript is spliced from 3 exons.